Molecule: transfer RNA, 91 nt
Filed under: Candidatus Marinamargulisbacteria bacterium SCGC AG-439-L15
Lineage: Bacteria; Bacillati; Candidatus Margulisiibacteriota; Candidatus Marinamargulisbacteria
Description: tRNA-Ser
Rfam family: tRNA
About the family: Transfer RNA (tRNA) molecules are approximately 80 nucleotides in length.
Source: RNAcentral
GGAGGGGUACCCAAGUGGCUUAAGGGGACGGUUUGCUAAACCGUUAGUGUUCGAAAGGGCAGCGAGGGUUCGAAUCCCUCCUCCUCCGCCA